This 495-nucleotide ribosomal RNA is filed under the name uncultured bacterium. RNAcentral's name for it is "bacterial SSU rRNA". It matches the Rfam family "Bacterial small subunit ribosomal RNA", at positions 28 to 524 of the family's 1533-position model. The record is from RNAcentral.
GAUGAACGCUAGCGGCAGGCUUAACACAUGCAAGUCGAGGGGUAGAGGAAGCUUGCUUCCUUGAGACCGGCGCACGGGUGCGUAACGCGUAUGCAAUCUACCUUAUACAGGGGAUAGCCCAGAGAAAUUUGGAUUAAUACCCCAUAGUAUAAUUGAAUGGCAUCAUUUAAUUAUUAAAGUUCCAACGGUAUAAGAUGAGCAUGCGUCCCAUUAGCUAGUUGGUGUGGUAACGGCACACCAAGGCGACGAUGGGUAGGGGUCCUGAGAGGGAGAUCCCCCACACUGGUACUGAGACACGGACCAGACUCCUACGGGAGGCAGCAGUGAGGAAUAUUGGUCAAUGGGCGCAAGCCUGAACCAGCCAUGCCGCGUGCAGGAUGACGGUCCUAUGGAUUGUAAACUGCUUUGUACAGGAAGAAACACUCCCUCGUGAGGGAGCUUGACGGUACUGUAAGAAUAAGGAUCGGCUAACUCCGUGCCAGCAGCCGCGGUAAU